Molecule: long non-coding RNA, 432 nt
Organism: Ruditapes philippinarum (Manila clam)
Lineage: Eukaryota; Metazoa; Mollusca; Bivalvia; Venerida; Veneridae
Exons: 4
Source: RefSeq, a predicted model, not a curated record
AAAACUGUAUAAUGUAUUCCAUUUUCAGAAAAUAAUGAUCCUGGCCUUACAAUCCCAGACCUUCCUGUUGGAAGUGAGACAAACUCUUGGGAAGAAAGGAAAUUUUGCAGGAUAAAGGAUUUGAAGGUGAUAAUGAGCCAGUGCCAAAGAAGGCAAAAUAUGACAAGAAAACAGAGGAUGACAUAUAUCAAACUUGUUGAACAACAGACUGCAAUUAUGACAGAAUUGAAUUCAACAUUAAAAACAUUAAAUCAGUCUUUAGAUGGCAUAAAAAAAAGAUUAGACAAACUUAUUUAAAAUUCUAACACGACAUGUAUGUUUCCCUUAUGAACUCAGAAGAACCGAAAUUGUGUGUUAUAAUGGUCAUAAAAUCAAUGUUGACAUUCUUAAUUUAGACAUUUGAUGAAACCAUUAAAAAAUUUUACGAGCUGA